Molecule: long non-coding RNA, 853 nt
Organism: Apis dorsata (giant honeybee)
Lineage: Eukaryota; Metazoa; Arthropoda; Insecta; Hymenoptera; Apidae
Exons: 2
Source: RefSeq, a predicted model, not a curated record
UUCUCAUUUCAGAAUCAGAAAUUUUUCUCUAUUUCUUCAGAAUAAAAAUAUUUCAUUCCAUGAUCAUUUUAUUGUAAGAAAUAAGAAAAUAGAAUUCAUCUAACCUUGAAAUUAUUCGCGCAGUAAAUUCCAUCCAAAAAGAACAAACACACCACAAUUUAAAGAUCAACCAUAGAAUAUUUUAUUCUAACGCUUUUCUUUCGAAACUUCUGUAAAUGAAUUGUCCAUGCCUGCCCUCUAUCGGUUGAAUUUGCUUCGAUCGGGCCGCCAUUACGAUAGCGAACCGAUGAAGAAGAUAAGGUUAACAAUAUCGAGGAUAUUCCCGAGCUAUCGACGAGUACUAUAGUUUAAUGUCAUUGAAUUACUCUCUAUUGGAAGUGCACCCUUUAUCUCUGAAAUUGAGUGCCAAUUUCGGUUUAUUAGCUUGUGGACAACUGUGAUUCGAUACUGAGUAAUCGAGGUUCCAUUGUGUAAUGACACUUGCUACGAAGCAAGAUAAGUAAGUUCCAAUUGCAUGACAAUGAAGAAUGCUUCAAGACACCGUUGAGCUUCUUGCCGGUACUUAAUACGCUCGAUCGAAGAACGAAUGAAAAUUCCAUGGAAGGGGAUGGGUCUGUCAUUGGCCGAUAGAAUAUUCGCCGAGGUAUUAUUCAAAUUAGAUGGAAUCGACUGUCGUCGACCGCGGGUUAGAACCGUUUGUAAUAGAGCUAGGCCGGAAUUCGAAAUGCCACCGAUAAAAGAUGGGUUUCACCCGCGUUCUGAGAAGAACAUUCCCCUUUGUCGUCGAUACUCGUUCAACGACACGCUCACGUCGACCGAAAAUUUUACGAUAUCUUCAAUCCACCUCUGAACA